UACAGAGGUCUCGAGCGUUGUUCGGAUUCAUUGGGCGUAAAGGGUGCGUAGGUGGUUCUGUAAGUCGGAUGUGAAAUCCCGGGGCUCAACCCCUGACCUGCAUUCGAUACGGUCGAGCUAGAGUGUGGUAGGGGAGACUGGAAUUCCUGGUGUAGCGGUGGGAUGCGCAGAUAUCAGGAGGAACACCGAUGGCGAAGGCAGGUCUCUGGGCCAUUACUGACGCUGAGGCACGAAAGCGUGGGGAGCAAACAGG
RNAcentral lists this unclassified non-coding RNA (253 nucleotides) under uncultured Actinomycetes bacterium. RNAcentral describes it as "uncultured actinobacterium contains 16S-23S intergenic spacer region". It matches the Rfam family "Bacterial small subunit ribosomal RNA", at positions 524 to 776 of the family's 1533-position model. The record is from RNAcentral. Lineage: Bacteria; Bacillati; Actinomycetota; Actinomycetes.